CAUCCCAGAAAAAGUGUGCAUGGGAGCAAAUAAAUAGGGGUGACUCCAGGGGUCAUGGGAAAUUUCCCUGAUAUAUGGAACAAUGUGAGAUAUGUCUAAGGAAAAUAUUUAGUUUCAUAAUUUGGGAAUAGGAUUUCAUUUAGCACUUUUGAAACAUGUGUCUAAAUCAGUACGCAGCUAGCUCAGGAAAAUAGUACUGAAGUGCCUGAGCUUUCAGUCAUUUCAUCGUUAGCUCUGAUGGUUGUUAGAUUCCCAAGCGGUGACAGAGUACGGAAGCUGCCUGGACCACGAAACACAUCCGCUCCAUCUCCUAGGUGUUGCACGUGGGUUAUUUGUUGUUUUUGCUGUGUGAUGUCCAGAAUUGGCCACAUUAAACUUUAAUUCUCCAUUUCCUUUAGGCUUAUAGGACUCUUCGCUGAAAGGAAGAUUGGAUGUUGUUUUGUCCAAUCCACUAUCUGGUGCUAAAUUUGUAUACCCUCCUUGCAUUCCCCAAACUCUUCAGCAAGCAGCAGAUUCUGAGGGAAACACUUUGUCUUAGUCUGUUUGUGUUGCUACAAAGGACUAUCUGAUUGGUAAUUUAGAAAGAAAAGAGGUUUUAUUGUUUGUUUGUUUCAUUGUUCUGUAGGUUGUACAAGGAGCAUGGGACCAGCAUGUGCUUCUGGUGAGGGCCUCAGGAAGCUUCCACUCAUGAUGGACAGUGAACAGGGGACAAGCAUACAUGGUGAGAGGAAGGAAGCCACAGGAAGAGAGAGAGGUGCCAGACUCUUUUCAACAACAAUUCUCAACAACUCACUCCCCACAAGAAUGGCACCAAACCAUUCACAAGGAACAUCUGUCCCGCUGGUUUCAUCUUGCGUGUAAAUGAGCUACGAUAGCAACAAUUUCUGUCAUCUUUGUCACUGAUCUGGAAUGAAAGUUACCAGAGAGCCUCUUGAGAAAUGUGGUAGAGAUAAUUGUGAACCCUGCAAAAAUACAGACGCUCACUCUGUCGCCAAGCUGGAGUGCAGUGGCGUGAUCUCGGGUAACUGCAACCUUCUCCUCCCAGGUUCAAGCGAUUCUCCCUCCUCAGCCUCCCGAGCAGCUGGGACUACAGCCCUACCUCUGGACCCAGGCAGCCCUAUGGAUAUUCCUGGUGCUUCCCAAUGUUGA
This 1149-nucleotide long non-coding RNA is filed under the name Papio anubis (olive baboon). RNAcentral describes it as "lncRNA (ENSPANG00000050553.1)". Lineage: Eukaryota; Metazoa; Chordata; Mammalia; Primates; Cercopithecidae. The record is from RNAcentral.